AUUUAGAUAAGUGGACAUAUGCAAGGGUAAAGGAUGAUCGCGAAAUACAAAUGAAGUUCUCAUAAUCGGAUUGCACAUGAUUGGAAAAUAAGUAUGGAUCAAUCCUUAAUCUUGAGAGCACUGGCAACUUUAACGAGGCUCAAAGAACUGAGGAGCGUUUUAUUCUUUUUCUCCUUUAUUUUUUUCUUUUUCAUUCCCUUUUCUCUUCUUUCUUCUUUCUUUCUUUUUCCUCAUCUUUUUUUCCUCUU
This 248-nucleotide long non-coding RNA is filed under the name Setaria viridis. RNAcentral describes it as "long non-coding RNA (SVIR_LNC002008)". Lineage: Eukaryota; Viridiplantae; Streptophyta; Magnoliopsida; Poales; Poaceae. The record is from RNAcentral.